RNAcentral lists this ribosomal RNA (1368 nucleotides) under uncultured bacterium. RNAcentral describes it as "bacterial SSU rRNA". It matches the Rfam family "Bacterial small subunit ribosomal RNA". The record is from RNAcentral.
GAGUUUGAUCCUGGCUCAGGACGAACGCUGGCGGCGCGCCUAACACAUGCAAGUCGAACGAGCGAGAGAGAGCUUGCUUUCUCAAGCGAGUGGCGAACGGGUGAGUAACGCGUGAGGAACCUGCCUCAAAGAGGGGGACAACAGUUGGAAACGACUGCUAAUACCGCAUAAGCCCACAGCUCGGCAUCGAGCAGAGGGAAAAGGAGCAAUCCGCUUUGAGAUGGCCUCGCGUCCGAUUAGCUAGUUGGUGAGGUAAUGGCCCACCAAGGCGACAAUCGGUAGCCGGACUGAGAGGUUGAACGGCCACAUUGGGACUGAGAGACGGCCCAGACUCCUACGGGAGGCAGCAGUGGGGAAUAUUGCACAAUGGGGGAAACCCUGAUGCAGCGACGCCGCGUGGAGGAAGAAGGUCUUCGGAUUGUAAACUCCUGUUGUUGAGGAAGAUAAUGACGGUACUCAACAAGGAAGUGACGGCUAACUACGUGCCAGCAGCCGCGGUAAAACGUAGGUCACAAGCGUUGUCCGGAAUUACUGGGUGUAAAGGGAGCGCAGGCGGGAAGACAAGUUGGAAGUGAAAUCUAUGGGCUCAACCCAUAAACUGCUUUCAAAACUGUUUUUCUUGAGUAGUGCAGAGGUANGCGGAAUUCCCGGUGUAGCGGUGGAAUGCGUAGAUAUCGGGAGGAACACCAGUGGCGAAGGCGGCCUACUGGGCACCAACUGACGCUGAGGCUCGAAAGUGUGGGUAGCAAACAGGAUUAGAUACCCUGGUAGUCCACACCGUAAACGAUGAUUACUAGGUGUUGGAGGAUUGACCCCUUCAGUGCCGCAGUUAACACAAUAAGUAAUCCACCUGGGGAGUACGACCGCAAGGUUGAAACUCAAAGGAAUUGACGGGGGCCCGCACAAGCAGUGGAGUAUGUGGUUUAAUUCGACGCAACGCGAAGAACCUUACCAAGUCUUGACAUCCUGCGACGCACAUAGAAAUAUGUGUUUCCUUCGGGACGCAGAGACAGGUGGUGCAUGGUUGUCGUCAGCUCGUGUCGUGAGAUGUUGGGUUAAGUCCCGCAACGAGCGCAACCCUUACUGUCAGUUACUACGCAAGAGGACUCUGGCAGGACUGCCGUUGACAAAACGGAGGAAGGUGGGGAUGACGUCAAAUCAUCAUGCCCUUUAUGACUUGGGCUACACACGUACUACAAUGGCGUUAAACAAAGAGAAGCAAGACCGCGAGGUGGAGCAAAACUCAGAAACAACGUCCCAGUUCGGACUGCAGGCUGCAACUCGCCUGCACGAAGUCGGAAUUGCUAGUAAUCGUGGAUCAGCAUGCCACGGUGAAUACGUUCCCGGGCCUUGUACACACCGCCCGUC